CCUACGGGAGGCAGCAGUGAGGAAUAUUGGUCAAUGGACGAGAGUCUGAACCAGCCAAGUAGCGUGAAGGAUGACUGCCCUAUGGGUUGUAAACUUCUUUUAUAUGGGAAUAAAAUGUUCCAAGUGUGGGAUUUUGUAUGUACUAUAUGAAUAAGGAUCGGCUCACUCCGUGCCAGCAGCCGCGGUAAUACGGAGGGUCCGAGCGUUAUCCGGAGUUUUUGGGGUUAAAGGGUGCGUAGGUGGAUUGGUAAGUCUGUUGUGAAAGUUUGCGGCUCAACCGUAAAAUUGCAGUUGAAACUGACAGUCUUGAGCACAGUAGAGGAGAGCGGAAUUCGUAGUGUAGCGGUGAAAUGCGUAGAUAUCACGAGGAACACCGAUUGCGAAGGCAGCUCACUGGACUGCAACUGACACUGAGGCUCGAAAGUGUGGGUAUCAAACAGGAUUAGAUACCCUUGUAGUC
RNAcentral lists this ribosomal RNA (460 nucleotides) under uncultured bacterium. Its description in RNAcentral is "partial 16S ribosomal RNA". It matches the Rfam family "Bacterial small subunit ribosomal RNA", at positions 338 to 795 of the family's 1533-position model. The record is from RNAcentral.